Molecule: ribosomal RNA, 253 nt
Filed under: uncultured bacterium
Lineage: Bacteria
Description: partial 16S ribosomal RNA
Rfam family: Bacterial small subunit ribosomal RNA
Source: RNAcentral
UACGUAGGGUGCGAGCGUUAAUCGGAAUUACUGGGCGUAAAGCGUGCGCAGGCGGUUCGUUAUGUCCGUUGUGAAAGCCCCGGGCUCAACCUGGGAAUGGCAAUGGAAACUGGCGGGCUAGAGUGUGGCAGAGGGGGGUGGAAUUCCCGGUGUAGCAGUGAAAUGCGUAGAUAUCGGGAGGAAUACCGAUGGCGAAGGCAGGUCUCUGGGCUAUAACUGACGCUCAUGCACGAAAGCGUGGGGAGCAAACAGG